Pteropus alecto (black flying fox) is the source of this 1463-nucleotide long non-coding RNA. RefSeq lists it as uncharacterized. NCBI's taxonomy places the organism in Eukaryota, Metazoa, Chordata, Mammalia, Chiroptera, Pteropodidae. The record is from RefSeq and is a predicted model, not a curated record. The transcript is spliced from 2 exons.
CAAACUGGUUAGAGUUUCUGAUGCUUAAGCAUUUGAGUCAUAAGGACUGGAUGUUGGUGUAGGAUCUUGUGUCUUUCUGCCCUGCACCUUAUUGUCCUGUGUCUUUCUCUGCAUGUUCCUGCCAGCUGGACAUGAUUAAAUCUCAGCCGUUGAUACGCAGAGCAAUAUGGAAAAUGAAUCAAGGAGAAGAACAGGAAGAUAUGCCAGAAGAAUAAAGAGAACUUCAAGAAGUGGGCAAAGGCGGUGAUGUUCUUUGGCUAAAAGACCAGGGGAAGAUGAUGCAAGCUAUCAGCAAGUUCAUGCUUGGGAAAUUAGCUCUUCCUUAAAUCAAAUUCCUGGAAAUUAUUUAAUUUUUUGAAACAAAUUGCAAGAUAUUCAAUCUUUCUGCCAGCAAUUAAAAAAAAGUAUAUUGAAUUUUAGUGCUAGGAAGAACCUAAAAAGCCAGCCAGUUCAAUCUCUCUCACUGGAAAGAUAAGAAUGAAACCAAAGAAGUGGUUUGCUCAAGGUCAAACAACCUGCCCUCUACAACCUUGACCUGGGUUCCUGAAAGGUUAUAACUCAAUGGAACUCUCUUGAAGUUAGUGCAAUAUCAUAAUUAAUUUAUUUAUUCUCACAAAACAUAAAUUUUCUUCCUGUGAUUAGGACAACAAAAUUUUGAAAAUGAAGAGGCAUGGAAGAAAACAGAGGAGAGAGAGAAAGAAGGGGAAGUUGAGUCGAAUUCAAACUUCUCACUUGGGUCAAUUUAAAGUUGCUUAAGAGAAUUUUUCAAAAUAAUAGUAACUAAGAUCCAUCCCCAUUAAAAAUUUAGAGACAUUCCACGAUUUGUUCAUCUCAUAACAAACUUCAUUUUAGCAAAGAAGGUGGUCUUGGAUAUUUCCUGCAACCUGAGAUGAAGAAUUUUGCUUGGGAUAACUGGAAUGUUUAUAGGAACUUUGACUAACAAUGAGGUGUUGGAAUGUAGUCUAAACAUGCAAACUAAAUAUCUUAUGCUGGCUUAGAAGUUCAGGGAUUUGGAGUCAGGAAGUUAGUGUUCUGGUUCCUGCCCUGACACUUACUCUAAAACCUUAGGCAAGUACCCCACACCUACAUCUCUCUAGAGGUCAGGAAUCCUACCCGGGAAAUGAUGGAGUCAGCCUUGGAGAAACUUAAAAACACCCUGCUGCUUUACACCAUCACGCAUGUGUCUAAAGCAUUCUCUCUGCUUGGAAUAUCACUCUUCAUCAUCCCUUCUUUAUGUGAUCUUUCUGACUCUUCAGGCAUUGCCUCCCUCAGGAGGAUUUCCGUGUCACAUCCUCGCUCCCUGUUCCAGCCUGAAUCAAGAGCUCCCCAUUAGGUCCCAGCCCACCUUGUGCUUGUCAUUACCUUUAUCACAACACUAUAAAAUCGUCCAGAGAGUCAAAAAGCCAUUAAGACAAUAAGUCACCCAAUUAACUACCACUCAAUUAAAAAGUGUUUUAAAUUCA